Non-coding RNA from Aedes aegypti (yellow fever mosquito), 82 nucleotides. Lineage: Eukaryota; Metazoa; Arthropoda; Insecta; Diptera; Culicidae. The record is from Rfam.
UGCCCAGAAACUCCUAUCCCUAUCUCCUCGUGGUACUGGCCGGGGUACGAGUAACCUUGGGGCAGUAGCGUAGCUAGGGGGG